RNAcentral lists this ribosomal RNA (774 nucleotides) under uncultured Neocallimastigales. RNAcentral describes it as "partial large subunit ribosomal RNA". It matches the Rfam family "Eukaryotic large subunit ribosomal RNA", at positions 22 to 647 of the family's 3401-position model. The record is from RNAcentral. Lineage: Eukaryota; Fungi; Neocallimastigomycota; Neocallimastigomycetes; Neocallimastigales.
GUACACGCUGUGACUAGCAUAUCAAUAAGCGGAGGAAAAGAAACUAACAAGGAUUCCCCUAGUAACGGCGAGUGAAGCGGGAAGAGCUCAAAUUUGAAAUCUUAAAGGGUUUCCCUUUACGAAUUGUAGUUUAAAGAAGUGUUUUCUGUUGAGGUUUUGGUAAAAGUUCUUUGGAAUAGGACAUCAUAGAGGGUGAGAAUCCCGUAUUUGACCUUUACUUUCAACUUUGUGAUACACUUUCAAAGAGUCGGAUUGUUUGGGAAUGCAGUCCAAAAUGGGUGGUAAAUUUCAUCUAAAGCUAAAUAUUGGCGAGAGACCGAUAGCGAACAAGUACCGUGAGGGAAAGAUGAAAAGAACUUUGAAAAGAGAGUUAAACAGUACGUGAAAUUGUCGAAAGGGAAGCGUUUGACACCAGUGUUGUUUUUCUGAAAAUCAAUUAAAGAACUGUUUAUGCUAAGCUGUUUAGACUUUAUCAGCUAUCUGUUUAGUUUUGAGCUUUUCUUUAAUGCACUUUUCAGUUAACAAGUCAACAUCAAUUUCUUUUGCUGUAAAAAAGCUUGAGGAAGGUGGCUUGAGAUUCGUCUUAAGUGUUUAUAGCCUCUUGCCUAUGCAGUCGGAGAGAUUGAGGUCUGCAGCGUAGAUCCUUCGGGGCUAAAUGCAUUUGUGCUAAGUUAUAACAUUUUAUAGACAACUUGUUGACUAUGAUUUGUCUUGUAGCUUACUCGCUUAUGUUAUUUUACCUACGCUUAGGAUGUUGACGAGACUGUCGAUCUC